AUCCUGGCUCAGGAUGAACGCUAGCGGCAGGCUUAACACAUGCAAGUCGAGGGGCAGCGCGAUGUAGCAAUACAUUGGCGGCGACCGGCGCACGGGUGCGUAACACGUAUGGAACUUACCCUUUACUGGGAGAUAGCCCGGAGAAAUCCGGAUUAAUAUCCCAUAAUAUACGAAGUGGCAUCACUUUGUUUUGAAAGCUCCGGCGGUAAAGGAUGGCCAUGCGCACGAUUAGCUAGUAGGUGAGGUAACGGCUCACCUAGGCUACGAUCGUUAGGGGGCCUGAGAGGGUUAUCCCCCACACUGGUACUGAGACACGGACCAGACUCCUACGGGAGGCAGCAGUGAGGAAUAUUGCGCAAUGGAGGCAACUCUGACGCAGCCAUGCCGCGUGCAGGAAGAAGGCGCUACGCGUCGUAAACUGCUUUUACCAGGGAAGAAACCCCCAGACGUGUCUGGGGUUGACGGUACCUGAGGAAUAAGCACCGGCUAACUUCGUG
This 497-nucleotide ribosomal RNA is filed under the name uncultured bacterium. RNAcentral's name for it is "bacterial SSU rRNA". It matches the Rfam family "Bacterial small subunit ribosomal RNA", at positions 16 to 507 of the family's 1533-position model. The record is from RNAcentral.